Molecule: non-coding RNA, 78 nt
Organism: Podarcis lilfordi (Lilford's wall lizard)
Lineage: Eukaryota; Metazoa; Chordata; Lepidosauria; Squamata; Lacertidae
Source: the annotation of a GenBank genome assembly
GCUUGGAUAUGAUAGCACAGUCAGUAGAGCAUGCAACUCUUACUCUCAGGGCCGUGGGUUUGAGCCCCACAUUAGGUG